UCAUUCUCUCCAAGACGUCGAACUUCUCAGUUUAGGCAAAGAUCCGUGUCCCAUUCACGUCGCAGAUCACCUUCUCCAGUAGGGCGUCGGUUGCGUUCUCCUAUGCGACGCAGAUCACGGUCUCCUAUCCGACGCAGAUCACGAACACCUGUCCGCCGUAGAUCGCGAACACCUGUACGCCGUAGAUCGCGAACACCUGUGCGACGUAGAUCGCGAACACCUCUACGUCGUAGAUCGCGGUCACCAUUGCGCUACAGGUCAAGGUCGCCUAUCCGACGUAGAUCUCGGUCUCCUUUGUUGCGUAGAUCACCUUCUCCUAUACGACGUCGGUCACCAUCUCCUUUGAGACGGCGUUAUAGAAGAUCUCCA
This 369-nucleotide long non-coding RNA is filed under the name Panax ginseng (ginseng). RNAcentral describes it as "long non-coding RNA (PGIN_LNC016613)". The record is from RNAcentral. Lineage: Eukaryota; Viridiplantae; Streptophyta; Magnoliopsida; Apiales; Araliaceae.